UGAAGGUAUGGUGUGACAAAAGCUCUGAGCACUGAAAAUGCAAUAUACAUACUAUGUAUGUAGGUAUGUGCAUAGAGGAGGCAAGCGAGCAAGCAAAGCUUCUGCUGCAAUUGCAGCUGCCUUGCUGCGAUGCCGUUGUCGUGCUGAUGUAUUAAAGUACUGCCUUGCGUCGCGUUUCGUCUCAUCCUUGUGCGCCGCGCCAUGUCGCACAUGCAAAUGCAGCAAAACACGGCAACAAGUAAACAAACCGAUUGGCUGGCGGCUGACGAAGCGACGUGGUGCGACGCCCCACUCGAAGGCACCUACACAAGCUCGCGCUAUCGAAAAGCCACAUUGUAAGAAGUUGGGGGCGCAGCAGUGGGUAUGGUAACUGAGCGUAUUGAGGGCGCUGCCAGUGCCAACUGACCAACAUAUUCUACAAGCGAACGACAAUCGUAGAGCUGCGUACGACGUACGAUAUAUGUGCAUACGAUGACGGGUGAGGGGAGCGCAGCGUUGGCGAGGUGUAGGGUGUGGGGUGAGAGCGACUGGCGAGCGUUGAAGUGCAGUGUAGUACAUGCAUUGUGAAUGCGAAUGCAAAAAACUUUGAAGAACGAACGGCACGCAAUUCUACGCUGCGCUCUAUUGUGAGCUGGUAACUUGCCAUAGUGCUAGUAAAUGCGAAAGCUCAACCGCAUGAACACACACAAAUGGGAAAACAACACCAGAAACACAAUAGUGCAUACACACAGUUGCAACAACAAUGCCAGCACUAACAACAAUUAUGGUUAUUAGCAAUAAAGACGAAAUGGGAGCAGCUGCGACGGCGCCAGCCAGCAGGCAAACAAUGCUUUUCGCUUACAUACCAGUGUCUUUCGUCUCAUUGGCGACCUCCUGCCAGGCCUUCUGGGUUUCGUCCUUCUUGCUGUAAGCUGGUAGCGUCGAGUUCCAAAGGCACGGAUGGUUUUCGACCAAUUGCACAAAGCGCACAUUCAAGACAGGAUCAUCCUUGCGCGCCAUGCGGACAGCGGGCGGCGCAGCAGUUGCGCGUCGCUGACGACCAGACCGACGACGAGAGUGUUGACGACGUUUGAUGAUGAUGACACCGUCCGCCAAAUGCACAGUGGCUGCUAGCAAUCGUAAUGCUGUGUCUGUCGCACCUGUUAUCGUAUUACCACCACCGCGCUAUAUAAUAUACAAUAAAUUGAAGCCACUCAGACGGCUGCCCUCGUUCGCGGUUUAGGCGCAGAGUGUGAUGCGACGCGGCGUAUAUGUAUUUUGAGUGAGUCGAUAUGUGUAUAUAUGCGAAUGUGUGUAUGUGUGUAUGUGCUUUUGUAUUUUGUAUGCGACGCGAAUUAAAUAGUGAACGACGGUGCAGCAAAAUCAACUUGACUGAACGAGCGUUAAGCGAAAACUGAAAAAGCUGCAUUGACGACGGCGGCGCCCCAACAACGACGGCUACUACUGCAAUGGCAAAUGGCAACAGCAAAAGCAACGGCAACGGCGGCACAUUUCAGCCAGCACGAAGAACGCGCGCCGUGAGCCAAAACAGUAGCACAGUGUGCUCGUUUCUUCACAAGUUAAACUAAAAAUUGUAACUGCUAAAUAAAAAACUAUCAAGGCCAAUGUAA
Long non-coding RNA from Rhagoletis pomonella (apple maggot), 1610 nucleotides. RefSeq lists it as uncharacterized. The transcript has 2 exons. NCBI's taxonomy places the organism in Eukaryota, Metazoa, Arthropoda, Insecta, Diptera, Tephritidae. The record is from RefSeq and is a predicted model, not a curated record.